UCGAGCCGUAUGAAGGGAAACUUUCACGUACGGUUCCUGGGGGAGAAAGGAGGAGUAAUCCUCCCGACUUACCCGAC
Molecule: non-coding RNA, 77 nt
Organism: Methanosarcina acetivorans
Lineage: Archaea; Methanobacteriati; Methanobacteriota; Methanomicrobia; Methanosarcinales; Methanosarcinaceae
Source: Rfam